This 218-nucleotide ribosomal RNA is filed under the name uncultured bacterium. Its description in RNAcentral is "partial 16S ribosomal RNA". It matches the Rfam family "Bacterial small subunit ribosomal RNA", at positions 328 to 539 of the family's 1533-position model. The record is from RNAcentral.
ACGCUCGACACCUACGGGAGGCAGCAGUGAGGAAUAUUGGUCAAUGGGCGCUAGCCUGAACCAGCCAAGUAGCGUGAAGGAUGAAGGCUCUAUGGGUCGUAAACUUCUUUUAUAUAAGAAUAAAGUGCAGUAUGUAUACUGUUUUGUAUGUAUUAUAUGAAUAAGGAUCGGCUAACUCCGCGCCAGCAGCCGCGGUAAUCUGAGCGGGCUGGCAAGGC